GUAGUCCAUGCCGUAAACGGUGGGUACUAGGUGUGGGGCUCCUUCCACGGACUCCGUGCCGUAGCUAACGCAUUAAGUACCCCGCCUGGGGAGUACGGCCGCAAGGCUAAAACUCAAAGAAAUUGACGGGGGCCCGCACAAGCGGCGGAGCAUGUGGAUUAAUUCGAUGCAACGCGAAGAACCUUACCUGGGUUUGACAUACACCGGAAACCUGCAGAGAUGUAGGCCCCCUUGUGGUCGGUGUACAGGUGGUGCAUGGCUGUCGUCAGCUCGUGUCGUGAGAUGUUGGGUUAAGUCCCGCAACGAGCGCAACCCUUAUCUUAUGUUGCCAGCGCGUAAUGGCGGGGACUCGUGAGAGACUGCCGGGGUCAACUCGGA
This 378-nucleotide ribosomal RNA is filed under the name uncultured bacterium. RNAcentral's name for it is "bacterial SSU rRNA". It matches the Rfam family "Bacterial small subunit ribosomal RNA", at positions 790 to 1167 of the family's 1533-position model. The record is from RNAcentral.